AUAAAUAAAUAGAAAAAAGGUUUUUAUAUACAAAUUGUCGCCCCUGAAUAAUUAAUCAUUUGGUGUUAAAUCGUUGAUAUUCAUACAUAUAAAAAUAGAAUGUACACAUAUACAUAUUGGAUAUAUUAAAGUAAAUAAAUUGGUAAUUGUAAAUCGGUUGGUUGAAUGAUAUGUACAUACAAAAAAUUAGAGAAAAGAAAAUAAAUGAAAUACUGGUUCUUAAGUUCCAAAUUCAUUUACUAAAAUGCUAAAAUUGCUUCCCUACGCAGUUGCUUCAAGAGGCGAAAAAAUCCAUCUUAUUUAAUCCAUUAAAAAUGACUUUCCUACUAGUAAAUUCCCCCCGCAAUAUACACUAUUCCUUUUUUUUUAUUAGUAUUUAUGAAUAACAAUCAACAGUUCCUUUUAAUAAUACGUGAUUUUAAACUAUAACGUAUCUAUUUGUUGCAAAAAGAUUGUGACUCGUUCACAGAAAUGAAAUGUAUAUAACUUAUAAAAGAAUGAGAAAUUACUUACAGAAAGUGUUGCAUAUUAUAAUCCCUUAAUAAAAUUGAACAGAAAUGAGAUACUUAACAAAUACGUUCGUUCACAUCAAAGUUAUUUUAUUAACGAUUUAUUUAUUGGCAUCAUACAAUAGGUUUAUGUUUAAUGAUUAAGAAUAAUUUUUCUUUUUAACAAGGUAAAACCAGAUAGGAGUUAUUUGACGAAACAAAGAGUUGAUAAAACAGAAAAACGAAAAUGAAAUGUUAUCUACAAUACUUAUUAAAUAUCCACAAACAAGUCUGAAUGAUCAGUUACAAAUGUAUUAAGUACAAAAAGGAAAACAAGAAUAUAUCAAAUUUAAAACCAAUAAGUCGUUAUUUUAUGAAACAAAAUCCAUAACACUAAUCGGAAAGUUCGUUGGCAAAAGAAUAUACAUAAAAAAGAAACAAGGCAGUAAGUAGGGCAGUUUCUUGAUGAAACUAAAACCACAAAACUAGUCGGAUAAGUCGCUUGUAAAAGUAAAAAAAAAAAAAGGAAAACAAGACUUUACUAACUUUAAAACUAAAGGGUAGUUACUUAUGUGAAACAAAAUCAACAACACUAAUCAGAACGAUUUAUUGCAAGAGUAGAAAGUAUUGAAAAGUUCACUUAUUUAACCUUUUAUAACUAAAACACCAAUUUCUUCUACAUAUGUGCAAAUAAACUUUGUUUUCAAAACAUUGCAGCAAGAGAUUAGUAUGUAGCGGUUUUAAAUUAAAUAAAUUACAUUUUAAGAUAUUGUUUCUAAUUGUUACUAUAGCGUCAGGCAUCAAAAUCUUAAAACCAAUCAAAAUAUCCUCUGCCUAAUUAGGUAAAAAACGUUCAAAUUCACGAUUAAAAUUUUAGUGACCUCGCCCCUCAGUAAACGUUUCUAAGAUUGAUAAAAAGUGGAUCUCCUUAUUAACAAGGUAAAUAGGUAGUUAUUUAAGUCAAUAUAAUACAUUUAACUCUUGAAAUAUCCACCCCAAUAAAUAUUUCUUUUUAAAACGUAUUUACGAAAAUGGUUUACUGUUGUAAUAAAAAUAGUUUUGUGGCAUAUCCUCGACCAUUAAUGUAUUGAUACUAAAAUAGAUCGAACAACUAGCUGAUUGGUAGAAGUAAACACAUAAUUUUGCUGUGUUGUAUCUGUUUGAACGUACUUUUGUGUUUUGUUGUAUAACGCAUUAUUUUCUUUAGUUGUUGGUAAAAGAGCACCUAUCGGAUUGUUACGUUUAAUGGUGUUAAUUCUUGCGAAUGCUACAUUCUCAUAUUUGAAAAAUUUCUGUAAUGUUCAUGUAAUGUUCUUUACAAACACAGGCAAAAUACAUUACUUACGCUUUCAUGAUGCUUCCUUAUACCAAAAUAAUUAAACUAAUUGGUGGCGCCUUCUGCAAUCUGAUAUUUGAAACUGAACUGAAAUGCCCGAAGUAGAAAAUCUUCUGUCGCAAUAAGUAAGAAAAAGACAGAAAAAUUAUUGAUUAAAAUUAGCGUUCGGUAUAUAUCUAGAUCCUUAAAAUAAAAUGCAUUAACAUAAAAGUUAAUAUAACCAUUAAUUGAUAAUCGAUAAUAUUAUAAUAUUAUGAGAUAUAUGUAACUUUCUUACAACUACCUAAGCUUAUUAAUGAACAAAAAAGGUUUCUUUUUUAAUUUAAAUUCAAAACGGUGAGCAAUAUUCCUUGUCAAAAUCGGUAAAAAGAAAAUGUAAACCACAUAAGUUCCUUCAAAUAUCCAAAGAGAAGCUAAUCUAUACUCCCUUCCUAAUCUUAAUUAAUACCAAACAGAAAUUAAAAAGCGAAAAUGUAAGUUUAAUGUACUUUUACAUGUGUGCCUGUUGUAACGCAUUAUUUUCGUUAAUUGUAAGUAAAAUAGAAGAUAUUUGAUUGCUUUUAUUUCACCCAUGAAUAACGAUUUCACUGACGGUUUUUUUGGUGUAAUUUAUUAGUGUUUUGGAAUUGCUUGGAUUGCACUUAUUGCUUACCACUGUAAAUUGUUAAUCGAAUGUCGUAUCAGAUUAAUCCCUCACGUAUUAAAUCUGGCUAUAGAUGGGACAACAGCUUUUUUUUAAAUAUAUAUAUACAUACAGUAAAUAUUUGAUAUCACGAGCUUUAUUAAUAUUGCAUGUGUUUCAACUAAAUGUUACAAUAUAUAUAUAUGUAUGGAAACGCUAUUUCUUAUCAAAAUGCUAUUGACGAGAUGCUUUUGUUUAUUUUGUAUGGGUACUACGAUAAAUUAACUAAAUAGAAUUUUUGUUUCACGUUAAAUUAUAGAUAUUAAUAUUGUCUUUGACUCCUCAUUGCUUGCUUGAUGCUGCUUCUGGCAAUUCAUUGAAAUGAAAUUAUAUAUUGAAACCAAAGUUAAUUAACUAAUCGAAAAUUUGGUCCCAAUCGUAAAACAAUUAAACUACCAAUAAAUGAUUUUGAUAACUAUAAGAAUUCCCACUGAAAAAUUGUAAUAAAUGCGUAUAUAAUUAAAUGAAAAUAUAUUUAUUAAUUAGUAAUUUCAUUAGCAGAAAAUAUAGAAUAAUAUGCGUUUGUUUUACAACUUCGUAACAUACAUCUAGCGAUAGUAAUAGUAAUUAAUUUCUGUCUUUUGAAAAAUUAAUUGUACCUACUUAUCUUACUCAAAUAAAGAAUCACAAGGUCGAAUCGUUUUACAUGUUUUCUUAUAAGAAAUAACUCUACAAAGUAAGACAAUUAUAAAAUCGUUCCUCAUUUAUGAUUGAUAAUGUAAAAUAAUAUUAAAAUUUGAAAAGGUAAAACAAUUUUCACUUAAAACCCUAUUAGAAAUGAUAAAAUUAAUAACUACACAUUUGUGUAUAUAUAUAUCAAUAUUUUAUAAAAUUGUCAGUUGAUACAUGGGUAUGUAAUUUGAAAUCCUUCUGUUAUAUAUUGUGUUCUUUGAAUUGACGUGUUAUAUAAAUGUUGAAAAACGGAUUAUUUAGAAAAAAACUGGACUUUUCCAAUUUCCUUUGAUAUAAAGUACGUGUUAUGGUUUUUUUGGUUAUUUAUAAGAAUAUGAAACAGCCAUUUAAUUGUUGAAAGGGUAUCUAACAGAAAAUAGUUAUUGAAAUAUAGGUAGACCUACUUAUUAGUGGUAUAUGCAUCUAUAUAUAUGUAGGGAUAAUCUUGAUGAUAAAAUAUGAAGGUCGUUUACAAAGAAAAGGUGGUAUAAAAUCAAACUUAUUUUCAUUAUGGAGUCUUCCAAUAUUACUUAAAAUAAUCCAUGAAAUAAAAUAACUCCCCCCUAAAUAAUUAAGUAGUAGGUACACUCAAAUAGGAUUCUUAAAGUAAGGUAUCGAAGAUAUUUAAGAGUGUUUAAUAUAAACCCCACAAAUAUUUACUAAAAGGUUUCUAAUUGUAAAAAGGUAUAAGUUGAAAGUGGAGGUGGGUGGGACAAUAAAAAAUAAACAAACAGGUAUAACAAAUUUUAAACAAGACUACGGUAAAUGAAUGCGCUAAAUAUUGUUUACAUGAGAGUAAGACGGUAAAAUGAUAAUAUGGACAGUGAAUGUACCCACUAUAAUUAAAAUGUUAACAGAACUGUGAAUUGUUAGGUAGGAAUAUACUAUACAUCGACUUAUGAAAGUGUUGAAAUAUAAGGUAAUUUUUUAUGGUGGUUAAUUAACAGUGUGUCAUAAUUUGACCAAAUACCGCAGUCAUUGUAAUACAAAAAGUAAUCCCUUUGGUAGAAAUCGAACACCUAAAUACGAACAGUAGAACAAAAAGCGAAAAAUUAACGUUUUCUGUAAUUGAACGCAUGAAUGGUAGUUAUUUAUAAUUGUAAUAGGUAUGUAAAAAUAAAAGAAAAAAGUAAUUGCGUUUUGGUAAAAAUUUAACCCCCAUAAAGAACAAGGAAAUACAGCAGCAGCGUUCAUAGCAACAUAUAUUCUACUAUAAUGGACAUGAGAUUGUAAAAGAAAGGAAAAUGAAAAAGGUAAAAGAAAUAUUUGAAUAGGAUAAUGAAAUUAAUAUAUACUGUUUAUGGUAAAAAUUUAAUCUAUAAAAAACGAUAAAAAAAAAUAUAUUUAGGAGAACGUAAAGAAGAGACUUCGGGAAAUGAAAAUCCAUUUAAUGUACAAAAAGGUGGAAAGUUAGCGUUUUUGAUAAAGAUUGAACAGACUUACAUGAAAAAAUGUCUAUGGACAAAUUUGAACUGAAGUAAAACAAUGUUUGGUAGUUUUUUAUGCAACUCAGGGGUAAAAGAAAAGGAAACGUUUACGACAAGGAAAUAGGCAAAAGAAACACUAGCCUUGGACAAAUAAAUCAAUAGUUAUUAUAGUAAAGGUCUAAUAAACAUGAGAAGGUAAAAGAAAAGCAGAUAUUUACAGAAACGUAAAGAAGAGACUUUGGGAAAUGAAAACCCAGUUCAAGUAUAAAAAGGUAGAAAGGUAGUAUCGUAUCUAAGGCAAAAAUUGAAUUCACUUAUAAGGAAAAAAUGUCCACGAAAAAUUUUGAACAAAAGUAAAACAAUGUUUGGUAAUUAUCUAAUAGAAAUGCGAGGGCAAAAGAAAAGGAAACGUUUACUACAACAAAAUAUGUAAAAGAAAUAUUGCCAUAGGGAAAAGAAAAUAAUAUAGUGUUUAUAGUAAAAGUCUAAUAAAUAUAAAAGGGUAAAUGAAACGGAGAUAUUCACGAAAACGUAAAGAAGAGACUUUGGUAAAUGAAAACCCACUUAAGGUACAAAAACGUAAAAAGGUAGCGUCUUUGGUAAUAAUUGAACACAGUUACAUGAAAAGACAAGAAAAUGUCUACGGAAAAAGAUGAACAGAAGUAAGACAAUGUUUGGUAGCGAUUUAAUAAAAAUGAGAGGGUGAAAUAAAAGAAAUAGAUAAAAGAAACACUGGUAGAUAUAGGGCAAAGAAAUUAAUAGUUUUAUGGUAAAGGUCUAAUAAAUAUGAAGGGGUAAAUAAAACGAAGAUAUUUACGAAAAGGUAAAGAAAAAACUUUAGAUACUAAAAAACCCACUUAAGGUACAAAAAGGUAGAAAGGUAGCGUCUUUGGUAAUCAAUGAACACACUUACAUGAAAAGACAAGAAAAUGUCUACGGAAAAAGAUGAACAGAAGUAAGACAAUGUUUGGUAGCGAUUUAAUAAAAAUGAGAGGGUGAAAUAAAAGAAAUAGUUAAAAGAAACACUGGCAUAGGGCAAAGAAAUUAAUAGUUUUAUGGUAAAGGUCUAAUGAAUAUGAAAGGGUAAAUAAAAUGGAGAUAUUCACGAAAACGUAGAUAAAAGACUUUGGAAAAUGAAAACCCACUUAAGGUACAAAAACGUAGAAAGGUAGCGUCUUUGGUGAUAAUUGAACAGACUACAUGAAAAGAUAAGAAAAUGUCAACGGAAAAAGUUAAACAGACGCAAGACAAUGUUCGGUAGCGAUUUAAAAAAAAAAUGAGAGGGUGAAAGAAAAGAAAUAGGUAAAGGAACACUGGCAUAGGACAAAGAAAUUAAUAGUGUUUAUGGUAAAGGUCGAAUGAACAUGAAAGGGUAAUUGAAACGGAGAUAUUCACGAAAACGUUAAAGAAGAGACUUUGGAAAAUGAAAACUCGCUUAGGUAUAAAAAGGUAGAAAGGUAGUAUUUUCGGCAAAAAUUGAAUUCACUUAUAGGUAUGUAUGAAAGGAUAAAAAAUGUCUACAAAAAAAUUUUGAAUAAAAGUAAAACAAUGUUUGGUAAUUAUCUCAUAGAAAUGAGAGCGCAAACGAAAAGCAAAUGUUUACUACAAGAAAAUAGGUAAAAGAAAUAUUGUCAUAGGGCAAAGAAAAUAAUAUAGUGUUUAUGUCAAAAGUCUAAUAAAUAUGAGAAGGUAAAUGAAGAGAGAGGAUAUAUUGAUGAACACGUAAAGAGAUUGGGAAAUGAAGACUCACUUGGGUACAAAAAGGUAGAAAGAUUUUUGGUAAUAAUUGAACAGACUUGCUAAAAAGAUAAGAAAACGUAUGCAGAAAGAAGUUGGUAUAUGGUAAAGGUCUAACAAAUAUGACAGGGCAAAAGAAUAGGAAAAAUUUACGAAAAGUCACGUCUUUGGUACAAAAUUGAACAGACUAAUGAAAAAGGCUAAUAAAAGAUGCCGCAAAUGCACUUGCAUAAUAUGGCAAAAUUUAUGAAAUGUAGAAGGAGUUAUUGAAUGAAUAUCUAGGACAGCUACAAAUGAAACAGAAACGUUACAUCUUUGGUAUUAAUUAAAUAAAAUUAUACGAAACGAUUAAAAUGUAUAUAUAUAUUCAAUAAUUAAAUAAGAGUAAAACAACGUUUGGUAGUGAUUUAAUAGAAAAUAGGGAGUAAGAUAUAAGGAAAUGGUAACGUUAUUCUACUAAAGAGAAAUAUUACAUAAUAUCUAACUCUCAAAAUGAGUCGGUUGUAUAAGACAAAAAACCUAAUAAGGUUGGUAAAAAUUUGACAAAUAAUAAAGAAAAUAUUUACGAAUAUUAAAACAAAAAGCACUUUCCGGUAAUUGAAUACCCAAUAAAGAUACAACCAAAAUAGAAUAGUAGCGACUUCGGCGAAAAUUGAACGGACUUGCCUAAAAGGAAGGAAAUGUAGGAUAAUCAAAAUAAUAAGCGGGGUUAACCCAUUUCUCCAGUAUAUGCUUUAUAAAUUGAAUGGUUUUAACAUAUGUGUCCUGUUUUAAAGAAUAUAUUUAAUGAAACUAUUUGAAGUUUUGGUGGAAUUAUUUUAAAAUACCAUGCAGUUAACCUCUGUAUUAUCGAUUUCGUCUUUACUUAUGUAACUUAAAAAUUUCCGGGAAAAAGCCCACAAUCGAAUGUUUUUUUGUUUAAUGCCUACAGUUUUAUAUAUCUGAAGAGUUGAUAGUUAUUGUUACAUUUAAAAUGUUGAGGGAUAUAAUAGAAAAUAUUUAUUGUAAAAAUUUAACAGAUAUUGGAGAGUAAAAGUAACAGUAGCCGUUUUGGUGAAAUAUGAGCAAUGACGAGGAUUCAAAAAGGGAAGUGUCUGUGAAUGAAUUACUGAAUAUCUACGAAGAGUUAGUGAACAAAAAUUUGCAUCUUAAACAAUAAAAAUUGCUUUUGGUAAAAAUCAAUCCAAUAAUCAAUAUAUAAGAAACGUUUACACCUGUUUUGAUAUAAUUAAUGUGAAAUCAAUUUGAUUUUUUUUGUAUGUUAUUAACGUUUAACCCCUUACGAAUCUUUCAAACGAGCUUACUUAACAUAAAACAAAAUUAACAUUUUGAUUGGAUGUGCCGUUUGUUACGUACUUAUUACUAAUGUUCUAAAUAUUGUUUUAAGUUCAUGCUCCACGAAGUUAAAUUUCUGUUUGUUGGGAGUAUUCCCCUUUUUCGGAUUAUUUUACAAAUUAUACAAUAAAAUGUUAAAUGGUAGCAGCUGACUCAUUUCUUCUACCUGCAUUGAAUAUCGAGCAAUAACUAUAUUACUACCCUUAUCAUUCCGCAAAUUUUUCUACAAAAGAAAACUUGAACUCGAACUGAAUGAAAUUGCAAAUAAAACGCGUUUAUAAUCGUGAAUAGAAGAUGAAAUUUCUGUAUGAACAAAUAAUCAAUCUAUCUAAAUUAGUUGGUAAUUAUAAAAAAAAAUCUUAUGUUUCUCUAUUCUACGAUACAGGGUAUAAGAAAUUAAGCAAAGUUUUGUGUAACUAUUGAAACAGUUAAGAAGGGUGACAUUGAAAGAAAAGGGUAGCGUCAAUGGUAAAAAUGAAAUAGACAUAAAAGUGUAACACAAAGGAAAUAUUAUGUUAAUGAUAAACACUCGACAGUUACGAAGACUGAAGGUAUUUAAUGAAUAGCAUCUGUGGCAACAAUUUAACAGAACAGGGUAAUAGAUGAAAGCAAUGCGUUGAACAGUCAUUCAAUAGGAGUAACAAUAAAAAGGAGAAGGUUUAUGGUAAAAAUUAAACAGGUAUGAAGGAAUAAUAGAAAAGAAACAUGUUUAAUGUCGAACACUAAAGGUACACAAAAGCCAUCACCUCUUUUAAAAGUAUCAAUAAAAGAAGAUUAACAUUUGUGAUAAAUAUUAAACAGGCAUGAAAGAAUAACUGAAAGGAAGUAUAAUGUUCAUGAUAAACACUGCACAGCUACAUUGAGCAAAGGCAUAUAUAUACCAGCACCUAUAGUAAUAGUUAUUAUUAAACAGAUGAAACAGGGUAAAAUGUACUAAAAAAAUGACAUCAGACAAAAACGAGUAGCAUAUGAAAAAGUAGUAGAAAAAAAUAAAAUGGCCAUGAUGAACACUGAACAGUUAGAAAGAGUGAAGGUAUAUAAAAAUGGUAUCCUUUGUAAGGAAUUGGGUAAUUAACGAAAGCAAUGUCUUGAGUAGCAAUUCAACAGUUAGGAAGAGAGUAAUACUGAGAAAAGAAUGUUGACUAGAAUUGUUUUGUAUAAAUAAACGGUUAAGAUUGUAAUAGUGAAAAAGAGAAUCACAUCUAGAGCUGUUUAAAACAAUAGAAUAGGGUAAUGGGAAAAACAAUGUCUAAUAAUUGAAUAGUUAACAAGGAUAAUAGCGAAAAAAGAGUAGGGCCUAUAGUAAAAUUUAAAUAGGUCGAAAGAGUAAUAGAAAAUCAGGAUAAUGUCCAUGAUAAUCUCUGAACAGUUAAGAAAGAUAACAAAUAUAUUGGGUAAUAGAAAAGAAAUAUAAUGUCCAUGAAAAUUCACUUUGAAAAACUGAUUUGAUUUCCAUAUUAAAACGUGCCCAAAAUGGAUACCGUGUGUACUUAUAUGUGGUAAAUGCAUAUGCAUAAAUAAAUAACGUAUGUGGACAGGGCUCUUGCCGACGAAAGAAUAUGUAUAACCCUGCUAUAAAUUAAUAGAUGAUCUGUAAAUAGAAGUAUUUAAUAUAUAAAAUGAAAUAUUGCAAGUGGAGGUGGGUGGGACUAAAAAAUAAAAAACAAUAGAAAAUUGUAAAGGUAAUGUUUAUCUUACGGAACAUUUGUUAACGUUAUGUUAAAAUAAACUUAAAAUAGACAAUGCAACGAAAAAUUGGAAAAACAAUGUUUAUUACAUGAAUGGUAAAGGAAUAUCUUCGGUAAAAGCGAAAUACGUAUGUUAUAAAGGAUAAUGAAAAUAUAAGCAAGAUUUAUGGCAAAAAUUUAACAAAUGUGAGGAUUAGGAAAAACAAAUGUUAUAUAUUAGUAAUUACCUAACACAGUACAUAACAUUAACAUCUUGAAGAUCUUACAAGAUACGUGUUUUGAAUAAUUUACCAUUUUAAAUGCAAACUUCACGAACUUCGUUUAAAUUUACACUUGGUAUCGUAUUUCUUUGCAGAUUGUACAUCAAACGGAAAUGGUAAAUAAUGGCAAGUCAUUUCUUCUAGUUGCGUGCUAUAUCCAAUAAUAAUGAUCAAAAUUUUGCUAAAUACAAUAUAGAAAUUCAUCUCUAACGUUUUAACCUUUUCUUUUUUCUAAUAGAAUGCUAUUAACAUUCUACUUUUUCCGAUAUAUUUCUAUUUAAUUCUACAAAUAAUACUCUACAAAUUGAGGAGACAGUUACUCUUAUAUGGAUUCUAGGAUAAUUCUAAGGCAAUGAUCAUCAGGCAAUAGUUUCAACUUUAACUUCAUGAAUUAACAAAUCUACUUAAAUUAUUUCGUAACAAAAUUCUUUUUUCUUAGCAUUUUCGGCCCUAAAUAUUCGAAAUUUUAAAUAGAAAUAUCAUAAUUGGACGUAGAAAUUAAUUUUUUUUUCAGCAUAAAACAGCAACAUGGGAUACUUCGCUAAAAAAGGAUUUAAAAAUAUUAUACACACCUACAGUUUCUUGUGUUUAUGAGUGUACUUUUCAAGUGAAAAUAUUUUAAAAGAAGAAAUUAUACUCUCUACAAUUAAUG
Molecule: long non-coding RNA, 10277 nt
Filed under: Agrilus planipennis (emerald ash borer)
Lineage: Eukaryota; Metazoa; Arthropoda; Insecta; Coleoptera; Buprestidae
Description: uncharacterized LOC112905273
Source: RNAcentral